AACACAUUGAAGAGCUAAUGAGGACAGACUGCAUAAAGGAGUGGAGCGAGCAGUGUGUUCAUUGGAAAUGCCACCAAGGGUCAGUCCCCUUAAGGAUGCCCAACAGAAUGUCCGAUUAGAUGUGAAAUACAUCAAUGCAGUGAAAGGCGCCUGUGACAAGAGACUCCAACCCUGAUGGUCCCAUUUGAG
Molecule: long non-coding RNA, 189 nt
Organism: Trematomus bernacchii (emerald rockcod)
Lineage: Eukaryota; Metazoa; Chordata; Actinopteri; Perciformes; Nototheniidae
Exons: 3
Source: RefSeq, a predicted model, not a curated record